GUCCCAGUAGCACAAUGGAUAGUGUGUUGGACUUCUAAUCCAAGGGUCACGGGUUUGAAUCCCACCGGGAUG
Molecule: non-coding RNA, 72 nt
Organism: Trichonephila inaurata madagascariensis
Lineage: Eukaryota; Metazoa; Arthropoda; Arachnida; Araneae; Nephilidae
Source: the annotation of a GenBank genome assembly